RNAcentral lists this ribosomal RNA (444 nucleotides) under uncultured bacterium. Its description in RNAcentral is "bacterial SSU rRNA". It matches the Rfam family "Bacterial small subunit ribosomal RNA", at positions 331 to 792 of the family's 1533-position model. The record is from RNAcentral.
CCAGACUCCUACGGGAGGCAGCAGUGGGGAAUAUUGCACAAUGGGGGAAACCCUGAUGCAGCAACGCCGCGUGGGUGAAGGAGCGUUUCGGCGCGUAAAGCCCUGUCAGCGGGGAAGAAGAAAGACGGUACCCGACCAAGAAGCCCCGGCUAACUACGUGCCAGCAGCCGCGGUAAUACGGAGGAUGCGAGCGUUAUCCGGAUUUAUUGGGUUUAAAGGGUGCGUAGGCGGACAGUCAAGUCAGCGGUAAAAAUGCGGUGCUCAACGCCGUACAGCCGUUGAAACUGGCAGUCUUGAGUGGGCGAGAAGUAUGCGGAAUGCGUGGUGUAGCGGUGAAAUGCAUAGAUAUCACGCAGAACUCCGAUUGCGAAGGCAGCAUACCGGCGCCCGACUGACGCUGAGGCACGAAAGCGUGGGUAUCGAACAGGAUUAGAUACCCUUGUA